UGGGAACAUACCUUUUGGUUCGGAACAACACAGGGAAACUUGUGCUAAUACCGGAUAAGCCCUUACGGGGAAAGAUUUAUCGCCGAAAGAUUGGCCCGCGUCUGAUUAGCUAGUUGGNGAGGUAAUGGCUCACCAAGGCGACGAUCAGUAGCUGGUCUGAGAGGAUGAUCAGCCACAUUGGGACUGAGACACGGCCCAAACUCCGUACGGGAGCAG
Molecule: ribosomal RNA, 216 nt
Filed under: uncultured bacterium
Lineage: Bacteria
Description: partial 16S ribosomal RNA
Rfam family: Bacterial small subunit ribosomal RNA
Source: RNAcentral